GGUGUGUUGGCUCAGUCAGAAGUAGAGCGUUCGCCUCAAAACCGGGAGGUCGUGGGUUCGAACCCCAGCCGCGUCA
RNAcentral lists this transfer RNA (76 nucleotides) under Strongylocentrotus purpuratus (purple sea urchin). It matches the Rfam family "tRNA". From Rfam's summary of the family: Transfer RNA (tRNA) molecules are approximately 80 nucleotides in length. Their secondary structure includes four short double-helical elements and three loops (D, anti-codon, and T loops). The record is from Rfam by way of RNAcentral. Lineage: Eukaryota; Metazoa; Echinodermata; Echinoidea; Camarodonta; Strongylocentrotidae.